AGUGUGCAGGCAGAGAUCUCUGAGAACUAAGAUGGUACAGAAAUGGAGGUGGGGGUGUGGGCAAGGAAUGGCAUUACAGGCAGAGGAAGCUGACAUGUUCUGAGAUGAGAAACAGUGUAGAAUCUUUGGUGAACUGCAAGUGUGCCGCAGGGGGUGUGGAGUGGUGACAUGAAAACCUGCUGGAGCCGUGUCAUGGCUAUGCUUUAUGCCCCUAUCCCAUGACACUGUAGAGUAUUUCCUGCUGGACACUAAAGGAUUAUAAACAAAACUUUCAAAGGAUGAAAUGGAGAGAAGUAAGACUUAUGCAUCUGAAAGAUGAAUUCUUCUGGGAAAGCAGCCAGCAUCCCGCUCUGACUGCAGCACUCGCAGCCCCCUAGUGGAGCUACUGUCGCCCCAAACUGAAGCAAGGUUGGCUGAAAACCAAUGCAAAUGAAAUAAUAACCCACAAGAGGGAAGAUGUGUACAAGCUGGCCUUUGUGUAAGCUUUUGUGUGAGAGCCCUCAGUGCCAAAGACAAAUUAAAUUUGCUCCCAGCCUCAGAGAAUCAUCAAGUUUUACAGCUGGAAGUGAUAUUAGAAAUCAUCACCAGCAACUGCCCUCCCACUUUCACCCCAUCCUUCCCAAGACCUACAAGGAACAGGAAGGAGCUGAAGCCCCCGGAGGUUAGGUGACUCACCCAAGGACACAAGCUUCCUGAGUGUCAAGAGCCCCUUUCAGCAGCGACCAGGGCAGCAACAGCAACCUACCGAGCUUGGGUCCCAUCUACAGCUAUGAGAUGUUCCCCUCCUAUACCCAGCAGCAGCCUCAAAGACAGAAGCUUCCCUGGUAGGUCACUCUAGGUCAUUCUGGAGUCCCAGCUUACAGCUUAUUCCUGUCCCUCUUUCAGUGAUUUUGUGAGCACAUAAG
Long non-coding RNA from Chinchilla lanigera (long-tailed chinchilla), 905 nucleotides. RefSeq lists it as uncharacterized. The transcript is spliced from 4 exons. NCBI's taxonomy places the organism in Eukaryota, Metazoa, Chordata, Mammalia, Rodentia, Chinchillidae. The record is from RefSeq and is a predicted model, not a curated record.